AUGCUGGAAAGAAAAGUCUCCAAGGAACUGGAGCCCAGACAAGGAGAACUUGAAAAUGCUGUUGGAAAAAAAAAUAUUCUUCAGACUUUUAAUGUCAUGGUGUUGGAUUCUUUGGCAAUAUCGUAUCCGAGGACGCUGCACUUGAGAGUAUCUUCUGGACUAAAAUGCAAGUCCCUUGAAUAAACCACUGGGUGAAACAAGGAGAAGCCGGCUCUGUCAGGACAUAAAAUAGAAGAAAGAAGCAAAAUUCAAAGAGACAACACAUAGCAUACGCUGACAGUAGUGUAAAAAUGUGUUAUUUACUUUGGUAACUUUAUUAUGUGAAUAAACAUUGCUUUGAUGAAUAAUAA
This is a long non-coding RNA of Sphaerodactylus townsendi, 350 nucleotides long. RefSeq lists it as uncharacterized. The transcript has 2 exons. NCBI's taxonomy places the organism in Eukaryota, Metazoa, Chordata, Lepidosauria, Squamata, Sphaerodactylidae. The record is from RefSeq and is a predicted model, not a curated record.